UAUCCGAAGAACGACUUGAACGUUCACGACAUAUCGUCAACAAAGCUUAAAUUUGUCCUGUCUACCAAUUCCAGCACUCGGAU
RNAcentral lists this transfer RNA (83 nucleotides) under Phoma sp. 1 OB-2014. RNAcentral's name for it is "tRNA-Leu". Lineage: Eukaryota; Fungi; Ascomycota; Dothideomycetes; Pleosporales; Didymellaceae. The record is from RNAcentral.